GGGCGCAUAGCUCAGGUGGUCUAGAGCGCUUGCUUCACACGCAAGAGGUCCGGGGUUCGAAUCCCUGUGCGCCCA
Molecule: transfer RNA, 75 nt
Filed under: Bacillota bacterium
Lineage: Bacteria; Bacillati; Bacillota
Also listed under: 2 other names
Description: tRNA-Val
Rfam family: tRNA
About the family: Transfer RNA (tRNA) molecules are approximately 80 nucleotides in length. Their secondary structure includes four short double-helical elements and three loops (D, anti-codon, and T loops). Further hydrogen bonds mediate the characteristic L-shaped molecular structure. tRNAs have two regions of fundamental functional importance: the anti-codon, which is responsible for specific mRNA codon recognition, and the 3' end, to which the tRNAs corresponding amino acid is attached (by aminoacyl-tRNA synthetases). tRNAs cope with the degeneracy of the genetic code in two manners: having more than one tRNA (with a specific anti-codon) for a particular amino acid; and 'wobble' base-pairing, i.e. permitting non-standard base-pairing at the 3rd anti-codon position.
Source: RNAcentral